RNAcentral lists this ribosomal RNA (733 nucleotides) under uncultured bacterium. RNAcentral's name for it is "bacterial SSU rRNA". It matches the Rfam family "Bacterial small subunit ribosomal RNA", at positions 771 to 1504 of the family's 1533-position model. The record is from RNAcentral.
AACAGGAUUAGAUACCCUGGUAGUCCACGCCGUAAACGAUGUCGACUUGGAGGUUGUGCCCUUGAGGCGUGGCUUCCGGAGCUAACGCGUUAAGUCGACCGCCUGGGGAGUACGGCCGCAAGGUUAAAACUCAAAUGAAUUGACGGGGGCCCGCACAAGCGGUGGAGCAUGUGGUUUAAUUCGAUGCAACGCGAAGAACCUUACCUACUCUUGACAUCCAGAGAACUUAGCAGAGAUGCUUUGGUGCCUUCGGGAACUCUGAGACAGGUGCUGCAUGGCUGUCGUCAGCUCGUGUUGUGAAAUGUUGGGUUAAGUCCCGCAACGAGCGCAACCCUUAUCCUUUGUUGCCAGCGGUUCGGCCGGGAACUCAAAGGAGACUGCCAGUGAUAAACUGGAGGAAGGUGGGGAUGACGUCAAGUCAUCAUGGCCCUUACGAGUAGGGCUACACACGUGCUACAAUGGCGUAUACAAAGAGAAGCGACCUCGCGAGAGCAAGCGGACCUCAUAAAGUACGUCGUAGUCCGGAUUGGAGUCUGCAACUCGACUCCAUGAAGUCGGAAUCGCUAGUAAUCGUAGAUCAGAAUGCUACGGUGAAUACGUUCCCGGGCCUUGUACACACCGCCCGUCACACCAUGGGAGUGGGUUGCAAAAGAAGUAGGUAGCUUAACCUUCGGGAGGGCGCUUACCACUUUGUGAUUCAUGACUGGGGUGAAGUCGUAACAAGGUAGCCGUA